AAACUGCGAACGGCUCAUUAUAUAAGUUAUCGUUUAUUUGAUAGUGCCUCCUACUUGGAUAACCGUGGUAAUUCUAGAGCUAAUACAUGCUAAAAAUCCCGACGGAAGGGAUGUAUUUAUUAGAUUAAAAGCCAAUGCCCUUCGGGGCUCUAUGGUGAUUCAUAAUAACUUCACGGAUCGCACGGCCUUGCGCCGGCGAUGGUUCAUUCAAAUUUCUUCCCUAUCAACUUUCGAUGUUUGGGUAUUGGCCAAACAUGGUGGCAACGGGUAACGGAAGGUUAGGGCUCGACCCCGGAGAAGGAGCCUGAGAAACGGCUACUACAUCCAAGGAAGGCAGCAGGCGCGCAAAUUACCCAAUCCCGACUCGGGGAGGUAGUGACAAUAAAUACUGAUACAGGGCUCUUUUGGGUCCUGUAAUUGGAAUGAGUACAAUUUAAAUCCCUUAACGAGGAACAAUUGGAGGGCAAGUCUGGUCCAGCAGCCGCGGUAAUUCCAGCUCCAAUAGCGUAUAUUAAAGUUGUUGUGGUUAAAAAGCUCGUAGUUGAACCUUGGGCCUGGGUGGCCGGUCCGCCUCACCGCGUGUACUGGUGCGGCCGGGCCUUCCCUCUGUGGAACUCCAUGCCCUUCACUGCGGGUGGGGGGGACAGGAC
Molecule: ribosomal RNA, 650 nt
Filed under: Acremonium sp. ES29
Lineage: Eukaryota; Fungi; Ascomycota; Sordariomycetes; Hypocreales; Bionectriaceae
Description: SSU rRNA
Rfam family: Eukaryotic small subunit ribosomal RNA
Source: RNAcentral